Molecule: long non-coding RNA, 69 nt
Organism: Amblyraja radiata (thorny skate)
Lineage: Eukaryota; Metazoa; Chordata; Chondrichthyes; Rajiformes; Rajidae
Exons: 3
Source: RefSeq, a predicted model, not a curated record
GGCAAAGAGUGGGAAUAAACAGGGCUUUUUUCUGGUUGCUGCCAGUGACUAGAGCACCGCAGAGGGUCA